Molecule: ribosomal RNA, 323 nt
Filed under: uncultured bacterium
Lineage: Bacteria
Description: bacterial SSU rRNA
Rfam family: Bacterial small subunit ribosomal RNA
Source: RNAcentral
GACGAACGCUGGCGGCAUGCCUAACACAUGCAAGUCGAACGGAGUUUCUUAAAUGGAUCCCUUCGGGGUGAAGCUUUUGAAACUUAGUGGCGGACGGGUGAGUAACGCGUGGGUAACCUGCCCCCUCCCCGGGAUAGCCGCCCGAAAGGACGGGUAAUACCGGAUACCCCGGGGUGCCGCAUGGCGCCCCGGCUAAAGCCCCGACGGGAGGGGAUGGCUCCGCGGCCCAUCAGGUAGACGGCGGGGUGACGGCCCACCGUGCCGACAACGGGUAGCCGGGUUGAGAGACCGACCGGCCAGAUUGGGACUGAGACACGGCCCAA